GUGCCAGCAGCCGCGGUAAUACAGAGGUCCCGAGCGUUGUUCGGAUUCACUGGGCGUAAAGGGUGCGUAGGCGGUUCUGAAAGUCUGAUGUGAAAUCUCCAGGCCCAACCUGGAAACGGCAUUAGAAACUACAGGGCUAGAGGCUUGGAGGGGGAACUGGAAUGCUCGGUGUAGCAGUGAAAUGCGUAGAGAUCGAGCGGAACACCAGUGGCGAAGGCGAGUUCCUGGACAAGUCCUGACGCUGAGGCACGAAAGCCAGGGGAGCAAACAGGAUUAGAUACCCGGGUAGUCC
Molecule: ribosomal RNA, 292 nt
Filed under: uncultured bacterium
Lineage: Bacteria
Description: partial 16S ribosomal RNA
Rfam family: Bacterial small subunit ribosomal RNA
Source: RNAcentral